GAUGAAGAACGUAGCGAACGUGCGAAACGUAAUGUGAAUUGCAGAAUUCAGUGAAUCAUCGAAUCUUUGAACGCAUCUUGCGCUCCUUGGUAUUCCGAGGAGCAUGCCUGUUUGAGUGUCGUGAAUACUCUCAACUUCAACCCUUUUUUCGGAAAGGGAGGAAGGUUGGACUUGGGUGUUUGUUGAAGUGCGAGCUUCGACUCAUCCUAAAUGCAUUAGCGAUCUGCCUCGAUCACACACAAUGUGAUAAUUAAAACUAAAGCAUUGUUUAAUGAUCAAGUCGAGACUGCUUCUAACUGUCGCAAGACAAUAACGUGCAUACAUUUGUGCAUGUCAUUUGACCUCAAAUCAGGUAGAACUACCCGCUGAACUUAAGCAUAUCAAUAAGCGGAGGA
This 395-nucleotide unclassified non-coding RNA is filed under the name soil metagenome. Its description in RNAcentral is "partial contains 5.8S ribosomal RNA, internal transcribed spacer 2, and large subunit ribosomal RNA". The stretch from base 1 to 121 matches the Rfam family "5.8S ribosomal RNA", at positions 35 to 154 of the family's 154-position model. The record is from RNAcentral.